GACGAACCGUGCGAACGUUAUUCGGAAUCACUGGGCUUAAAGCGCGUGUAGGCGGGGCGGCACGUCGGUCGCUGAAAUCCCCCGGCUCAACCGGGGAACGGGCGCCGAUACGACCGCCCUCGAGGGACGUAGGGGGACCUGGAACUUCCGGUGGAGCGGUGAAGUGCGUUGAGAUCGGAAGGAACGCCCGUGGCGAAAGCGAGGUCCUGGACGUCUUCUGACGCUGAGACGCGAAAGCCAGGGGAGCGAACAGG
Molecule: ribosomal RNA, 254 nt
Filed under: uncultured bacterium
Lineage: Bacteria
Description: partial 16S ribosomal RNA
Rfam family: Bacterial small subunit ribosomal RNA
Source: RNAcentral